UGAGCAACCUGCCCUUAGCUCUGGGAUAACCCCGGGAAACCGGGGCUAAUACCGGAUACGAGUCCGAGCGGCAUCAUGCGGACUGGAAAGUUUUUCGGCUAAGGAUGGGCUCGCGGCCUAUCAGCUUGUUGGUGGGGUAAUGGCCUACCAAGGCGACGACGGGUAGCCGGCCUGAGAGGGCGACCGGCCACACUGGGACUGAGACACGGCCCAGACUCCUACGGGAGGCA
This 230-nucleotide ribosomal RNA is filed under the name uncultured bacterium. RNAcentral describes it as "partial 16S ribosomal RNA". It matches the Rfam family "Bacterial small subunit ribosomal RNA", at positions 118 to 350 of the family's 1533-position model. The record is from RNAcentral.